This 1250-nucleotide long non-coding RNA is filed under the name Salmo salar (Atlantic salmon). RNAcentral describes it as "lncRNA (ENSSSAG00000054906.2)". Lineage: Eukaryota; Metazoa; Chordata; Actinopteri; Salmoniformes; Salmonidae. The record is from RNAcentral.
CCAGAAUAUAAAUAUGUGACAGAAAUUGGCAUAAAAUGAUUGGCAUGGACAGCAUUUCAUUUUUAUGAUAACAUGCUGUGCAUCAUUAUGUAAAACAAAUCGACGAAACUAUGGGUGAUAGCCAACAUGGCCAUGUCUAGACCUGUACCUGAUAGGUGCCAAUAAUAGCCUACUGUUGAGAUAUUUGCAACCAUAACAGAAAAUAUGUUUUCAUAUAACUUACAAAGGACUAUUAAUGUGCUAAAAUGUUUUUCAGUGACGUUCCCAGUAUUUCCUAAUAAUUCCUGCUGGUCUGUGAAGACCUUGCCUAACUACAAGGUUAUAACGUACCAUUUAACAAUAAACUCAUUUUAAAACAUCUUACCAACAGGUUUGGUGGGAUGUAUAUGGGCUGGAAACUGGUGUAGCACUUUCUGCUUGAUUGAAGACCAAAACGUGUUUACAGGUAGAAACGAAUGGGUCUGCUUCCAUUGAUCAUCUGGUGGGUAGCCAAGUUAGCUAGACUAACUUGAAAACCCACCAAAAUUGCAGGUGGUGGCAAAAUUCCAAAAUUAGUAGCGCGGCAUUCGUCAUUAGCUAACUAACGUUAGCAGGCUAACAUUACCUUGUUUUUAUAAGUGGUUGAGUAAAGUUGUCAACCAAAGCAACAAUACAAAUGAAAUUGGAUAUAAAUAAAGGAGUCUUUCGAUCAUGUCGUUGUUAGCUAAUAAAUUAAAAUGUCGUUUGAAAUCCUGGUUGCAUAGGUAGCCGAUGCUAAGCUAACCUAGCUACCAAGCUAACAGAUAGCUUGAUAGCUGUCUUUUUUAGCUAGCUAACCUUAUAAAUACCAUUAAAAUCGCCUGUCAAAAAGGUAAAAGAAAAACAUAGGAUAAAAAUGGCGCGGGGAAUGCCGUGAUAACUUAUUUAUGUCAGAUAGCCAUUCUUCAUCCAGGGACAAAUAUUUUCAAAGGCCUGCCUCUCCAUCGGCCCAGGAGGGCUGUUUUCGACUCGAUAACAAAAACUAUUUCCGCUGGGUUGGCCUGCUAAUUCAGAUAUGUCCCUUGUUUGAAGCGGUAGUUUCGAUGCUUGAAUCGUUAACUCUUCGAAUUUACCGAAAUUAGCCCUUUCUUUAGUGUUUGUCGUAUUUUCAUAAUUUUUCUUCGGUCAAAUAUUUUCCGCCCCGUGUCAAUUUUAGGUGUCCCCGUCUAUGGACUAUGCCUACGGCUCCUAAUGUUCUUCGAGUUAAAAUGGUAGCUUCCGGUCUGUAUUCU